AAGACAACAGGGAUGCCCUAGUAACGGCGAGUGAAGCGGCAACAGCUCAAAUUUGAAAUCUGGCCCUCGGGUCCGAGUUGUAAUUUGUAGAGGAUGAUUUUGGUUAGGUACCUUCCGAGUUCCUUGGAACAGGACGCCUUAGAGGGUGAGAGCCCCGUACGGUUGGAUGCCGAGCCUCUGUAAAUCUCCUUCGACGAGUCGAGUAGUUUGGGAAUGCUGCUCUAAAUGGGAGGUAAAUUUCUUCUAAAGCUAAAUACCGGCCAGAGACCGAUAGCGCACAAGUAGAGUGAUCGAAAGAUGAAAAGCACUUUGAAAAGAGGGUUAAAUAGUACGUGAAAUUGUUGAAAGGGAAGGGCUUGUGACCAGACCUUUGCCUUGCGGAUCAUCCGGUGUUCUCACCGGUGCACUCCGCUUGGUUGAGGCCAGCAUCAGUUUCGGCGGCGGGAUAAAGACUUCAGGAACGUGACUCCCCCGGGAGUGUUAUAGCCUGCUGUGUAAUACCGCCGCUGGGACUGAGGACCGCGCUUCGGCUAGGAUGCUGGCAUAAUGGUCAUCAGCCACCCGUCUUGAAACACGGACCAAGGAGUCGAACAUUUAUGCGAGUUUUUGGGUGUUAAACCCUCAAGCGUAAUGAAAGUGAACGGAGGUGAGAGCCCUUACGGGUGCAUCAUCGACCGAUCCUGAUGUCUUCGGAUGGAUUUGAGUAAGAGCAUAACUGUUCGGACCCGAAAGAUGGUGAACUAUGCGUGGAUAGGGUGAAGCCAGAGGAAACUCUGGUGGAGGCUCGCAGCGGUUCUGACGUGCAAAUCGAUCGUCAAAUCUGCGCAUGGGGCGAAAGACUAUCG
This 845-nucleotide ribosomal RNA is filed under the name Microdochium seminicola. Its description in RNAcentral is "eukaryotic LSU rRNA". It matches the Rfam family "Eukaryotic large subunit ribosomal RNA", at positions 62 to 937 of the family's 3401-position model. Lineage: Eukaryota; Fungi; Ascomycota; Sordariomycetes; Xylariales; Microdochiaceae. The record is from RNAcentral.